UACGUAGGUGGCAAGCGUUGUCCGGAAUUACUGGGCGUAAAGCGUGCGUAGGCGGUCUUUUAAGUCUGCUGUGAAAUCCCCGGGCUCAACCUGGGAAUGGCAGUGGAUACUGGGAGGCUAGAGUGUGUCAGAGGAUGGUGGAAUUCCCGGUGUAGCGGUGAAAUGCGUAGAGAUCGGGAGGAACAUCAGUGGCGAAGGCGGCCAUCUGGGACAACACUGACGCUGAGGCACGAAAGCGUGGGGAGCAAACAGG
This 253-nucleotide ribosomal RNA is filed under the name uncultured bacterium. Its description in RNAcentral is "partial 16S ribosomal RNA". It matches the Rfam family "Bacterial small subunit ribosomal RNA", at positions 524 to 776 of the family's 1533-position model. The record is from RNAcentral.